AGAUUAAUUUUCAAUCUUUUGUGGAGUGGUUUCUAAAUUUUAUUUUAUUUUUUUACUUUACAUUGCUCCCCUAUGAAAAUAUUAGUAUAAAAGCUGAUGAACAUUUUCUGGCCCUUAUAGUACGUAUCCACAUUUAGGCCCUCAAGCAGUGCUCAGCUGGGUUAGCGUCCUCACUGUUAUGCUGACACAGAAAGGGUGGUCUGCAUUAUUCUAUUCUCUCUUCUAGCCAUUCAGAUCCGUACUGUAAAUUCUUUCCUCUGUUAGCCCCACCAUUGUCCUCAUCUAAGUUAAAUGUCCGCUCAUUCUGGAAGGAGACUUUUGAGGCUGUUUUGAAGGUGAGGAGACCUGAAAUCUGAUUGCCAAUGGUUGAAUGGUCCGAUUGGAAACCACAUUGGCCCCAACAGUCAGCAGACUGUGGAAGGGGACAUGCAUGGAGAGGCUGGGGUCUGAUCAGUCAGGCAAGGCAGGCUCGAUCCUAGUCCUGAGGGGCCGCGGGGAUGACUAGCGAGGUGGAAGUCUAGCAAGAACUGAGUGUAGUUACAGCCUUUCUUCUUGAAAAUUUGGGUCUUUCCUUUUUUGCAGCCUUUGGGAAAGGACCAUUUAGCCUUAUCGGGUCCUAAAUGAUUAACCCAGAUUAUUGUCCUCAGGAGAGAAGACCUCAGCUCCAUUAUUCAGAAGUAGUCAUUAUUUGUGAUGGGCGAUGCUAUAAAUUUAGUUGCCAGACAUUUGCGGAGGUGAUUACCUGUGGAUUAAGGUUCCUAAACCUGUAUGUGAUUUUCUUCAUCAAAGUCUAAUAUUUUUAAGCCCCCAACCAAUUCCAAGAGCAGAAACAAAGAUUACUAUGUCCCAGGACUUGCAGUUGCUUAACUAACAAUUUGUGCAUGUGAUUUAUAGCCUCAUUUGGAAUUUUUAUAGUACCCUACCUAAACUGGUGGUUUUUAUAAAAUUGAGUUUUAAUUCUACCAUUUACGAAAUUCUGAAAAAAAUGCAGAAGUGUUGGAUUUGGGAAUUAUCUGCACAAAGUCUGGCAUGACAUAUUCCUCCNNNNNNNNNNNNNNNNNNNNNNNNNNNNNNNNNNNNNNNNNNNNAGAAAAACUAUUCUGAAGCUUGAGCUUGGUGUCACAUAUAUCCCAUUUUAAAAGAUAUUUAAUAGUAAGCAAGUACUUGUCUAUCACUAGAAUCAUUCCAGUUUCAUAUUUCUUUUUUGUUGUUGUUUUUCUGGAAAUAGUUCAGACUUAUUUGAAAAAAAUCUGGUAUAACGAUGCUAAC
This 1269-nucleotide long non-coding RNA is filed under the name Capra hircus (goat). RNAcentral describes it as "lncRNA (ENSCHIG00010009187.1)". The record is from RNAcentral. Lineage: Eukaryota; Metazoa; Chordata; Mammalia; Artiodactyla; Bovidae.